UCCCCGAUAGCUCAGUUGGUAGAGCAACUGACUGUUAAUCAGUGGGUCACUGGUUCGAGCCCAGUUCGGGGAG
RNAcentral lists this transfer RNA (73 nucleotides) under Gammaproteobacteria bacterium TMED193. RNAcentral's name for it is "tRNA-Asn". It matches the Rfam family "tRNA". Rfam says of the family: Transfer RNA (tRNA) molecules are approximately 80 nucleotides in length. Their secondary structure includes four short double-helical elements and three loops (D, anti-codon, and T loops). Lineage: Bacteria; Pseudomonadati; Pseudomonadota; Gammaproteobacteria. RNAcentral also lists the same sequence under 1 other name. The record is from RNAcentral.